RNAcentral lists this ribosomal RNA (161 nucleotides) under Pseudocercospora sp. CPC 19537. Its description in RNAcentral is "partial 18S ribosomal RNA". It matches the Rfam family "Eukaryotic small subunit ribosomal RNA", at positions 1673 to 1831 of the family's 1831-position model. The record is from RNAcentral. Lineage: Eukaryota; Fungi; Ascomycota; Dothideomycetes; Mycosphaerellales; Mycosphaerellaceae.
CCGUCGCUACUACCGAUUGAAUGGCUCAGUGAGGCCUUCGGACUGGCCCAGGGAGGUCGGCAACGACCACCCAGGGCCGGAAAGUUGGUCAAACUCGGUCAUUUAGAGGAAGUAAAAGUCGUAACAAGGUCUCCGUAGGUGAACCUGCGGAGGGAUCAUUA